This 380-nucleotide ribosomal RNA is filed under the name uncultured bacterium. Its description in RNAcentral is "bacterial SSU rRNA". It matches the Rfam family "Bacterial small subunit ribosomal RNA", at positions 29 to 400 of the family's 1533-position model. The record is from RNAcentral.
AAUGAACGCUGGCGGCGCGCCUAAUACAUGCAAGUCGAGCGAGAAGACGUAGCAAUACGUUUGUAAAGCGGCGAACGGGUGAGGAAUACAUGGGUAACCUACCCUCGAGUGGGGAAUAACUAGCCGAAAGGUUAGCUAAUACCGCGUACGCUUCUUGGACUUCGGUUCAGGGAGGAAAGCGAUACCGUGGGUAUCGCGCUCUUGGAUGGGCUCAUGUCCUAUUAGCUUGUUGGUGAGGAACGGCUCACCAAGGCUUCGACGGGUAGCUGGUCUGAGAGGACGAUCAGCCACACUGGCACUGCGACACGGGCCAGACUCCUACGGGAGGCAGCAGUAAGGAAUAUUGCGCAAUGGGCGAAAGCCUGACGCAGCGACGCCGC